CAGCAGCCGCCGCGGUAAUACGUAGGUCCCGAGCGUUGUCCGGAUUUAUUGGGCGUAAAGCGAGCGCAGGCGGUUAGAUAAGUCUGAAGUUAAAGGCUGUGGCUUAACCAUAGUACGCUUUGGAAACUGUUUAACUUGAGUGCAAGAGGGGAGAGUGGAAUUCCAUGUGUAGCGGUGAAAUGCGUAGAUAUAUGGAGGAACACCGGUGGCGAAAGCGGCUCUCUGGCUUGUAACUGAUGCUGAGGCUCGAAAGCGUGGGGAGCAAACAGGAUUAGAUACCCCUGUAGUCCCUGUCUCUUAUACC
RNAcentral lists this ribosomal RNA (304 nucleotides) under uncultured bacterium. RNAcentral's name for it is "partial 16S ribosomal RNA". It matches the Rfam family "Bacterial small subunit ribosomal RNA", at positions 506 to 808 of the family's 1533-position model. The record is from RNAcentral.